Molecule: ribosomal RNA, 253 nt
Filed under: uncultured bacterium
Lineage: Bacteria
Description: partial 16S ribosomal RNA
Rfam family: Bacterial small subunit ribosomal RNA
Source: RNAcentral
UACAGAGGGUGCGAGCGUUGUCCGGAAUCACUGGGCGUAAAGGGCGCGUAGGUGGCGCGACAAGUCAGUGGUGAAAGUUCGACGCUCAACGUCGAAUCGGCCACUGAUACUGUUGGGCUUGAGCACUGUAGAGGCUAAUGGAAUUCCGGGUGUAGCGGUGGAAUGCGUAGAUAUCGGGAGGAACACCUGUGGCGAAAGCGGCUCACUGGACCACAACUGACGCUGAGGCGCGAAAGCUAGGGGAGCAAACAGG